AUGUCACCUAUCUUCUUCCUCAGGGUGGCGUGGCCUGAGCUAUGAAAAACCUGCCUCAUGAAUAUGCAAAUGCACUGCUGUCUACCGAGGCACCCACGCCCAGGUCCAGCUGGUACAGUCUGGGGCUGAGGUGAAGAAGCCUGGGGCCUCAGUGAAGGUCUCCUGCAAGGUUUCCGGAUACACCCUCACUGAAUUAUCCAUGCACUGGGUGCGACAGGCUCCUGGAAAAGGGCUUGAGUGGAUGGGAGGUUUUGAUCCUGAAGAUGGUGAAACAAUCUACGCACAGAAGUUCCAGGGCAGAGUCACCAUGACCGAGGACACAUCUACAGACACAGCCUACAUGGAGCUGAGCAGCCUGAGAUCUGAGGACACGGCCGUGUAUUACUGUGCAACAGACACAGUGUGAAAACCCACAUCCUGAGAGCGUCAGAAACCCUGAGGAAUGAGGCAGCUGUGCUGAGGCUGAGGAGAUGACAGGAUUUAUGAAGUUUAAAUCUGUUUAGAAAAUGGGUUGAGUAAUUGAGUAAAACAGCAAUGGAAAGAUGUGUACACUGUCAUUAUGUAGGAAAUAGUAUUUUCAACUGUCACCCUAUAAGUAACACUCACAGAGUGGGAAAGGCAGCCAUCAAUCAAGCUGAUGCAAACAUUCCCAUGGGGGCUUUGUG
This 665-nucleotide long non-coding RNA is filed under the name Homo sapiens (human). RNAcentral describes it as "non-protein coding lnc-BRF1-26:1". Lineage: Eukaryota; Metazoa; Chordata; Mammalia; Primates; Hominidae. The record is from RNAcentral.